AUCAUACAAAGGCUUAAACAAAGCCCCAACUUUAGAUUUACAGAAAUAAAGAAGCCAAAAGAAAGGCCCAUCAGAUAACCAGACUUCUGCAGAAGCAAUUCUAUCUGAACUCCAUCCAUGGAACGUGUCGACAACCGGAUAUACCACGUCACACGCUGGAUGAGUAAUCAAAAGUUUUCCGGCAACAACCUUCGCCGUUGAGCGCCGAUUCCGGUAAGAAAUCUUCGCUGAUAUGAAAUCAAACGUUGAUUCUUGUGUUUUGCACCGGAAUGAAGACAUCAAAACUCCAAAUUAAAAGAUAACAGCUUAAGGCAUCGUGAUAAGCGAUGGAAGAAUCUUCUAUUCUCCAACAUAAGAUGGAAAUCUCCUUGAAACCAUUCUGCAAACCCGAGUUCAAAAGAAAACGAUCCGGCGAAACCCAUCUUGAAGAGACAAGAAACAAUCCAGAUCUAAAAACUCAAAAGACAUAUUGGAGAAGAACUACCGUUAACGGACAGAUAAUCAUCCCCAACAUAGAUCCAAUGAGAUUAUUAGCAAAAACAUAACAAAUUUAGAAAGUAAAGAGAAACGAUACCGGCCAUCGCCACUAGAAAAGCUGAUCGAUGCCGGGCAGGAGCUAGCCACCGUUGCUGGAGAAGCCAAUCGGUGCCAGACGAGAGCCGACCAUCACCGUUGUGGAAAACGGAAGAUGCCGGACAUAUAGCCGGAUAAACACCGGACGGCGAGAAGAAGAACGCAUUCUCUCUCUCGUUCUUCUUCUUCGUUUCUGCGCAAAAUUUUUUUUUUUUUAAUUCAAAACCAAACCGUAAAACAAAGAAAAAGUAACUAAACCGAAACCA
RNAcentral lists this long non-coding RNA (839 nucleotides) under Arabidopsis lyrata. RNAcentral describes it as "long non-coding RNA (ALYR_LNC002181)". Lineage: Eukaryota; Viridiplantae; Streptophyta; Magnoliopsida; Brassicales; Brassicaceae. The record is from RNAcentral.